GUGCAGCAGGCGCGAAACUUUACAAUGUGCGAAAGCACGAUAAGGGAACUCUGAGUGCCUCCUAAGGAGGCUGUUCAGGUGUCUAAAAGCACCUGAAGGAAGGGCUGGGUAAGACCGGUGCCAGCCGCCGCGGUAACACCGGCAGCCCAAGUGGUAGCCACGUUUAUUGGGUCUAAAGCGUCCGUAGCCGGCUGGGUAAGUUCCUUGGGAAAUUUGGCUGCUUAACAGUCAAGCUUUCAGGGAAUACUGCCCGGCUUGGGACCGGGAGAGGUCAGAGGUACUCCAGGGGUAGGGGUGAAAUCCAUUAAUCCUUGGGGGACCACCGGUAGCGAAGGCGUCUGACCAGACCGGGUCCGACGGUGAGGGACGAAGGCUAGGGGCGCGAACCGGAUUAGAUACCCGUGUAGU
Molecule: ribosomal RNA, 408 nt
Filed under: uncultured microorganism
Description: bacterial SSU rRNA
Rfam family: Archaeal small subunit ribosomal RNA
Source: RNAcentral